AUUGCUCUGCUUUCUCGGUAGCAUCUAAAAUUAAUUGACCCAACACUUCUGACAUUGGGAGUUCUAUAUAAUUUCGGUCUGUGGGCCGGAAUUGCGGACACCCACCUUGUAUCUUAGGAUCAAUUGUUUUGGAUCUAACCAGAGAGCAGAGUUUUA
Molecule: non-coding RNA, 156 nt
Filed under: Candidatus Aenigmatarchaeota archaeon
Lineage: Archaea; Nanobdellati; Candidatus Aenigmatarchaeota
Description: 6S RNA
Rfam family: 6S / SsrS RNA
About the family: E. coli 6S RNA was the first non coding RNA to be sequenced, but its function was unknown until recently.
Source: RNAcentral